This 253-nucleotide ribosomal RNA is filed under the name uncultured bacterium. RNAcentral's name for it is "partial 16S ribosomal RNA". It matches the Rfam family "Archaeal small subunit ribosomal RNA", at positions 474 to 727 of the family's 1478-position model. The record is from RNAcentral.
UACCAGCACCCCGAGUGGUCGGGACGUUUAUUGGGCCUAAAGCAUCCGUAGCCGGUUCUACAAGUCUUCCGUUAAAUCCAACUGCUUAACAGGUGGGCUGCGGAAGAUACUAUAGAGCUAGGAGGCGGGAGAGGCAAGCGGUACUCGAUGGGUAGGGGUAAAAUCCGUUGAUCCAUUGAAGACCACCAGUGGCGAAGGCGGCUUGCCAGAACGCGCUCGACGGUGAGGGGUGAAAGCUGGGGGAGCAAACCGG